This 468-nucleotide ribosomal RNA is filed under the name uncultured bacterium. Its description in RNAcentral is "partial 16S ribosomal RNA". It matches the Rfam family "Bacterial small subunit ribosomal RNA", at positions 28 to 507 of the family's 1533-position model. The record is from RNAcentral.
GACGAACGCUGGCGGCGUGCUUAACACAUGCAAGUCGAACGGAAAGGCCCUGCUUUUGUGGGGUGCCCGAGUGGCGAACGGGUGAGUAACACGUGAGUAACCUGCCCUUGACUUUGGGAUAACUUCAGGAAACUGGGUCUAAUACCGGAUAGGAGCUCCUGCUGCAUGGUGGGGGUUGGAAAGUUUCGGCGGUUGGGGAUGGACUCGCGGCUUAUCAGCUUGUUGGUGGGGUAGUGGCUUACCAAGGCUUUGACGGGUAGCCGGCCUGAGAGGGUGACCGGCCACAUUGGGACUGAGAUACGGCCCAGACUCCUACGGGAGGCAGCAGUGGGGAAUAUUGCACAAUGGGCGGAAGCCUGAUGCAGAAACGCCGCGUGCGGGAUGACGGCCUUCGGGUUGUAAACCGCUUUCGCCUGUGACGAAGCGUGAGUGACGGUAAUGGGUAAAGAAGCACCGGCUAACUACGUG